CCUACGGGAGGCAGCAGUGGGGAAUAUUGGACAAUGGGCGGAAGCCUGAUCCAGCAACGCCGCGUGAGGGAUGACGGCCUUCGGGUUGUAAACCUCUUUCAGUACCGACGAAGCGCAAGUGACGGUAGGUACAGAAGAAGCACCGGCCAACUACGUGCCAGCAGCCGCGGUAAUACGUAGGGUGCGAGCGUUGUCCGGAAUUAUUGGGCGUAAAGGGCUCGUAGGCGGUUUGUCGCGUCGGGAGUGAAAACGGCCGUGCUUAACACGGCGCUUGCUUUCGAUACGGGCAGACUAGAGGUAUGCAGGGGAGAACGGAAUUCCUGGUGUAGCGGUGAAAUGCGCAGAUAUCAGGAGGAACACCGGUGGCGAAGGCGGUUCUCUGGGCAUUACCUGACGCUGAGGAGCGAAAGUGUGGGGAGCGAACAGGAUUAGAUACCCUGGUAGUCCACACCGUAAACGUUGGGCNCUAGGUGUGGGGUCCCAUUCCACGGAUUCCGUGCCGCAGCGUACGCAUAGCGCCCGCCCGUCGGGUAGGUACGGCCGGCCGACGGACGUAAACCGUACGAAACUAGAAUUAGUACGGCGUGAGACGUGCCGACGGACGACGACGAGGGAGUAGG
Molecule: ribosomal RNA, 620 nt
Filed under: uncultured bacterium
Lineage: Bacteria
Description: bacterial SSU rRNA
Rfam family: Bacterial small subunit ribosomal RNA (bases 1-524)
Source: RNAcentral